RNAcentral lists this ribosomal RNA (405 nucleotides) under uncultured prokaryote. Its description in RNAcentral is "bacterial SSU rRNA". It matches the Rfam family "Bacterial small subunit ribosomal RNA", at positions 355 to 774 of the family's 1533-position model. The record is from RNAcentral.
UGGGGAAUAUUGCACAAUGGGGGAAACCCUGAUGCAGCAACGCCGCGUGAAGGAUGAAGGCCCUUGGGUUGUAAACUUCUUUGAUCAGGGAAGAAAGAAAUGACGGUACCUGAAUAACAAGCCACGGCUAACUACGUGCCAGCAGCCGCGGUAAUACGUAGGUGGCAAGCGUUGUCCGGAUUUACUGGGUGUAAAGGGCGUGUAGGCGGGAUCACAAGUCGGAAGUGAAAUCCCCGGGCUUAACCCGGGAACUGCUUCUGAAACUGUGGUUCUUGAGUACUGGAGAGGAAAGCGGAAUUCCUAGUGUAGCGGUGAAAUGCGUAGAUAUUAGGAGGAACACCAGUGGCGAAGGCGGCUUUCUGGACAGAAACUGACGCUGAGGCGCGAAAGCGUGGGGAGCAAACA